This 499-nucleotide ribosomal RNA is filed under the name uncultured Desulfobulbus sp. RNAcentral's name for it is "bacterial SSU rRNA". It matches the Rfam family "Bacterial small subunit ribosomal RNA", at positions 888 to 1382 of the family's 1533-position model. Lineage: Bacteria; Pseudomonadati; Thermodesulfobacteriota; Desulfobulbia; Desulfobulbales; Desulfobulbaceae. The record is from RNAcentral.
GCCCGCUCAGAACUUAAAGGAAUUGACAGGGCCCGCACAAGCGGUGGAGUAUGUGGUUUAAUUCGAUGCAACGCGAAGAACCUUACCUGGUCUUGACAUCCCGGAGACCCUUAGGAAACUAGGGGGUGCUUCCAUCUGGAAGAAUCUGGAGACAGGUGCUGCAUGGCUGUCGUCAGCUCGUGUCGUGAGAUGUUGGGUUAAGUCCCGCAACGAGCGCAACCCUUGCCUUUAGUUGCCAGCGGUUCGGCUGGGCACUCUAAAGGGACUGCCGGUGUUAAACCGGAGGAAGGUGGGGAUGACGUCAAGUCCUCAUGGCCUUUAUGACCAGGGCUACACACGUACUACAAUGGCCGAUACAAAGGGCAGCGACACUGCGAGGUGAAGCCAAUCCCGUAAAAUCGGUCUCAGUCCGGAUUGGAGUCUGCAACUCGACUCCAUGAAGUUGGAAUCGCUAGUAAUCGUGGAUCAGCAUGCCACGGUGAAUACGUUCCCGGGCCUU